GGUUAAGAGAUAGACAGAUGUGAUAAGAAAGGGAUAUAUCAGACAUACGCAGAACGAACCAGUUUUUAAUUGCAUCGAAAAAUGCUUUUGCCCUAAUGUAUUUUGGUUAAUGCCUUCCACUGCAUUUGUAAAGAGGGUGUAAACAUAAGCCCUGAUAAUGGAGCAGUCUUUAAAAUAGGUGUCUAUUCUUGGCUUGAAGAACUUCAGAAGCAUGUUUCUUUAUUAAAGAAAGACUGCACGGUUUAUGCUUUGAAGAAAACAACUGCAGAUUUACCGAACUCAUGACAGUCAGAAGCCAGGCAUUUGCAGAGUCAAGACUGAUUGGGAAGAUACGCAUUCAAGAAAUUACCUUAAGAUUUGUUUCACCAUUAAAGCGACAUUCCCAGCUGUGCUCCAAUCAACUGGAUAAAAGCAGAGAACCCAUCAGAAGUUGUUCCUGGUUGACUAUCACCUUUCAAAAUAUGUGUAUGUGGGAAAAAGCCCCCAUCCCUUUCCGACUAUUAUUAAAAAUAAGUAAUGAUGUAUUAUAAGAUGCUUUUCAAGCCAGAGGGUUCCGAAACAUUUUGCAACUACACAUAUAAACAGGAAUUACUUCACCAGCCACUGAAAUGUGGCCACCUCUUGGACAAAAUGUGGCAGCUUUUAAUAAUGCAUAGCAACAUUCCAAAACAGUCAAGGCCUGGAAGUGAGGAGCAAACUUGCAUCCAACUAAAAUCACCUGGGAAAUUUCCUGGGCUGAGUUGUGCUGUGUUGGGAAGGAUCUCUUGUAACCAUAAGAGGCCAGGACAUUAGUCUUAUGUCUCCCUAGGAAAUUCAGCCCCAUUCUGUUUAGUGCUGGCUCAUGGUCACCUGCUAAAUCAUCCAGAUCCCAGACCACAAAAUGAUGGACGUUCCUCUGAAGUGUGGCCAGUUUUCCACACUGACUGAUGGAGGAGGCUGGACAGUGUGGAGAGGUGGCCUUGGAUGAGGAUCCUGGUGACCCGGCCCCUGCAACAAUAUUUGGAACUGUUAAUGGCCCAGGAUGAUAGAAGAGAAAGCUUGGUCCAGUUCUUCCUGGUCACUAUAAAAUAUGUUCUCUGACUUGAGAGACAUUUACCACAAACUUACAACUUUGAGUCUACCCCAUGCUUCAUAUUGACCUACCCAAAUGUGCCACAGUAUGUCAAAGAAGACCCAGAAGAGUCUCUUUGUUAGACCACUGUUUCAUUAGCAAAAACGGCUUCUCCUAGGCAGAAGAACUCCAUUUAUAAGUAGAUGAAUUUUGUCUAGAUUGGUUAAAUUUAGGGAAACCCACGCUCAUGACCACUUGUAUUUCCUCAUGCCUUCUGGUUGCCCAGGUUAGUGUAAUUACUUUUUGGCUAAAAGAGGGGAAUGGACCCAGCAUAGCAAAACCCUUGAGAGCCAGUGAGGGUAGUCUCACAGAGAAGCCUAGCUGUACACACAGUCAUGAAGAAGGAAGAACGAUUUCAAAUGAAUAACCUAAUGAUUAGCUUAUUAGUUGAUGCUUUGGAAAGAUCAGUAAGGUUGAGAAACUUUGGCUAGACGAGUAGAAAGAGGGGACAAUCAAGUGUGGCAGGGACUUGUUUCAUUCUCAGGGGCUUGAUGGUACCAAGCUGGUCUCUUGACUCAUCUGGAACUGAGAGUCUGUGUAGGACUCUCUUAGAAGAUGGAAGGUGGUGGUGGAGGAGGGUCCAAGGUCAUUCCCGCAAAGCUGUCUGACACGAGUCAGAUAAAAGCAUGUUUUCCACACUCCAGUUAUUCUUGUAAGAACAAAAAAAGGGAAUCACAAACACUGAAGGCAAUCUCAACGGUGGAAGAGAGAAGUCGGGUUGGGCUGGAGGGUGGAGUGUUUAAUAAAAUCAGGAGGAACCGGUGGUGGUGGGAUGACCUUUAGAGGAUGAUUGUCUAACCAAACUCUUGGCUCACAGCUCUUGCUGGUGAAUCCAUCCCUUUUCUUGCCCUGAAUCACUCCCUGAGACCAGCAGUCUUGUCUUCUCAAAAUGCAGGAGUCAGGGCUGUUGUUCCAAUUCACCAUAUCCUGGUGACACUUCUGAUUCUCCAUGGAAAAUUCCACUUUCCUAACUAGGUCCAAAUUAAAUAUUGACUUUACUAAUUUUAAAUCAUUUUGCCCAUAGACAAAUGUGUUUCCUAAGGACAUUUUGAGGAAAUGCUUGAGCAAUCCCAAAGAUGCCACUCCUACUACGUGAAGCUUCAUGGACAUGAGCAAAAGACAUAUGCCUGUAGCGACCUUCCCUGGGUGGAUGGACAAAGGCCUGGGCCCUAGAAACACCAUCCCUGACCAACACCGAAGAAAGUGCUGGGCCUUUAUGGGUGUGUCAAAUUGUGCCUGUUUUGUUAAAGCGAUCCUUUUUCCCUCACCUGCAACAUCAGAUCCUUCUCUGAGUUCUGAUGCUUUGUAUAAUCCUCCUCAGCCCUGCUUGAGAAGCACAGCAUUUCUCCCCGGGCCAUCAAUAGAGACUUCUGGUUUCUUCCUUAUCUAAUCCACACCCCAUCCAGUUUCUAUAGUGCCAGUGAGUUAUUUCUACAGAUGCAGUAUGGUGGUCCAGUUCCAGAAGGGCUUCCCGCCGACCACGGAGUGGAUACCAGAAGCCAGUGUCUGCCAUUUGAGAAGCAUUGCAAUCUAGAUCUAGGUCCUGAUCCUCAACCCCCUCCCCAACACCAUGUGCCCAAGCCACGCAAGACUCGUGAUUUCCUGAACUUGCAACAUUUUCCUUCUAUGCUUCCAAGCCUUCACAUGAUCACUGCUCUGACUGAUGUCUUGGCUGCAAUUUCAUGAGGCACCCUGAGCCAGAGCCACCUGGCUAAGCUGCUUCCGGAUUCCUGGCCCACAGCACUGGGAUAAAUGAAUGUCAUGAUUUUUAAGCUGCUAGUUGGGAAAAAUUUGUUAUAGGACAAUGGAUUCCCCUCUCUGGCCUGCUGUUGUUAUAGAUCAGUAGAAGGACACAAGCAACCUACCACUGUGUUGCUCAGAGUAGGCAAGACUGUGAGCCCAACAGCCAUGACAGAACGGCCCUCACCACACUUGACACGGUUUAGGAAUGAACAGCAUGCAGAUGAGAAGAGACAAGACCUGCAACGAACGUGAGUCAUGAGGUGGAGAAAGCGGAAGCAGCUGAGGGCCUUGCUGAGUGAAAUACAUCCAUAGCAUCUGAACUGGCCUUUCUGCUUCUCUCUGUCAGGAAGGGACAGCAGCGUGGAGAGGAGAAUGGAUAUUUUGAGAAGAGGCUGGCUAUUUUGCAAGUCUUCACAAAAAACAGAAGGUGUUCCUGUUCAUGUGGUUUGUGUGGUAGCCAUCGACCAAGAGGUCAGGGCCCUGUGAAGUCUGAUGGGAGCCAUGGCUUGGGUUUCCUGCCCGUCGCCUUGCUAUUGCUCCACGUCAGUUGUAGCUGUCUAUGAAUCCAUUUCAGGAGGAACAAUGGAAGAAGGCAGCAAAGUGCCCUGGGGUAUAGCCUCUUCUCUGUGACCAGCAAGCCCACAGCCUUGCAUGGCAUUGUGGCCCCAGAUGCACUGUGUCCCCCGUCUCCUUUUUCUGCUCCCUUUCUCCUGCCACCAUGACCAGGGUCCCCCAGGUCUGAACAGUUAUUGGGGACCUGCUCAGUAUGUUCUUGGUGUUCACACCUUUCCUGAGCUAUGAAGACUUGUGUACAGGAGGGAUACUUUACACAUCCUCCCUUACACCUUAUUCAAUGUGUUUUCUCACCUGGGAGCAUGAUUACUGUAAGCCUGUCCUCUGUGGAAAGAAAAGAUUCUCGGGCGCCUGGGUGGCUCAAUCAGGUAAGUAUCUGCCUUUGGCUCAGGUCAUAAUCUCAGGGUCCUGGGACCGAACCCAGCGUUGGGCU
Long non-coding RNA from Zalophus californianus (California sea lion), 3860 nucleotides. RefSeq lists it as uncharacterized. The record is from RefSeq and is a predicted model, not a curated record. NCBI's taxonomy places the organism in Eukaryota, Metazoa, Chordata, Mammalia, Carnivora, Otariidae. The transcript is spliced from 3 exons.